GCCCCCGUAGCUCAGUUGGAUAGAGCGCCGGCCUCCGGAGCCGGGUGCGCAGGUUCGAGUCCUGCCGGGGGUACCA
RNAcentral lists this transfer RNA (76 nucleotides) under Actinobacteria bacterium RBG_16_67_10. Its description in RNAcentral is "tRNA-Arg". It matches the Rfam family "tRNA". Rfam says of the family: Transfer RNA (tRNA) molecules are approximately 80 nucleotides in length. Their secondary structure includes four short double-helical elements and three loops (D, anti-codon, and T loops). RNAcentral also lists the same sequence under 2 other names. The record is from RNAcentral. Lineage: Bacteria; Bacillati; Actinomycetota.